AUUGAGAAUACAGAGCUGCACCUCUCGAAAUAGAAAACCAUCCCAUACCUGAUAGUCAACUCAAUCAUCAACCUGGACCUCCAGUAGAAUGAUAGCAAAGUUUGGAUUGCUAGCAUAGAGGUCCCUCAAAGCAUCAAAGCCAACCACCUCCACUUGAAGAACACCUAGAAGCUUGGCUGUCCUACUCAGUGCAUUCGCCACUCAAUUCUAAGCACCAAACUUAUGCUUCAGAAUAAAGUAAAACUCCUGUAAGUAGUUCACUCACUUGAUAUACCUGUGGUUCAGCUUUUUCUGACCAUUGAUAUACUUUAGGGUCUCAUGGUUAAUGUAGAGAAUGAACUCUCUUUGGACUAAAUAGUACCGCCAU
Molecule: long non-coding RNA, 367 nt
Filed under: Elaeis guineensis (African oil palm)
Lineage: Eukaryota; Viridiplantae; Streptophyta; Magnoliopsida; Arecales; Arecaceae
Description: long non-coding RNA (EGUI_LNC040904)
Source: RNAcentral